This 6590-nucleotide long non-coding RNA is filed under the name Ooceraea biroi (clonal raider ant). RNAcentral describes it as "uncharacterized LOC113561674". Lineage: Eukaryota; Metazoa; Arthropoda; Insecta; Hymenoptera; Formicidae. The record is from RNAcentral.
CAGAAACGUUUCGCUAUCUUUAUUUUAACGGGCACUUUACUCUUGUAUCAGUGAUGUAUGUAUCGAUCGUUUUUGACAUGCAUCUCCUAAACUAUUUCAAAUAGGAUAAUUUUGUUUAAUGCUCUUAAAAGCACAUAAUUCUGGCGUACCAAUUUUUUGGUUUGGUAUGCAUUUUCAAUGAGUGGGGGUGCUAACUUACGUUAAGUCAGCACCCCCAUUUUUAAUUGCGAUUUCUUGCUAAACCGCUUGAGCACAAAAAUCGUGAAUAGAGCACAUAAUUAGCACAUAAAGAGCACUUAAUUCCUGUAUAUUUAGUAAUUCGAUUUUUUGUGGUCGGGGUGCUAACUUAACAGACGUGUUAAAGUAGUAGCUAAAUAGACGCUGAAUAACGCCUCGGAUGAAGAAUUCGAGGUUCAAUGUAAAACUAAAAUUUCGACUCGGGUUAUGAAGUUAUUGUAAUGACUAAAUUAUGAUACUAUAUAUAUAUAUAUAUAAUCAAUACUGCAUAAUAUAUAUAUGUAACUGCAAUAAUGUAAUAAUACUAAUAUUAAAUAAAAAGCAAUUACAAUUUAUUCAGAUUCACUUAGGCAGCAAUCUUCCACAGUUUAAUUUGAUCAAGGUUGAGCAGACGCGAUUCAACACAAAAAGCAAUACACAACCGUAAGAGAGAAAGAAAGUAAAUCUGGCGUUACGCUGAAAUCACUCUCUCGAGCACUGGUUCCAAAUGUUUUCACGAGGGAUUCCUCAGCCGGGAUCACGGGAGUAGCAGCAGGAGUAGUCGAAUUCCACUCUGCAACGUAAAUUCCCCGGGAGUGAUUAUUUUCGGUGGCGGAUGAGCCGUUCGGAUUGUCGGUUUUUCGCGUGUGUUUAAAUCGCCGGUAGCGCGCGAGAUGACGGCGCGCAGAUUAUCGCUCGGCAAAGCCGUGAACUCCGUCAUCGUCGUAUCUCGUUAUCGCCUGUUUACAAGACGAACGCCUCCUCGAGAGGAUCAGACGAGGUAGUGCGGCGAGAGCACAUCAUCUCUCUCUUUCUCUCUCCUGAUAUAUACACGGUGCGAAAAUUUACGGCAUCGAGUUAAACGGAAUUAAGGGGGGAAUCUGGUUUACCGGGUCCAAAAAAUUGAGGCCAGUCAAAUGGUACAAAAUGAAUUUUAUGAGGAAGUUGAAGGGCUCCUGUAUGGAGCAGGAAUUGCUGAUUAACCUACGACUGCUGUUCACUUCGAAGGUAAUUAUGUAAAAUUAAUAAAAACCUGAAUCGUUUGUUUCACACAAGAUUUACGCUCUCCAGAAUGUACACAAUGAACCAACUGCAGCGGCGAGGCGUUACAAGCAUCUUCCUGUUUCAUCGGCUUAACGGCUAUAUUUUUAAUCCAAAACAUUAAUUUUUGUAGUUUAAAUAUACAAUAAUAUAUUCUAAAAGUGUGGGAGUAAUUGCUUUUAUUUUACCUACUUUAAAAAAUUCCUAAAAAUUAUGCAUUUUUCGGGCUCCUAAACCAGAUUUCCCCCUUAAGGCCGCCGCGAAGUUGGUGCGAAAUUAGAACGGGGGCCGCCACGUCGUUCGGCACUAUGGCGUUUGCUUUUCCCGUUUUCGAUUUUCCGUUGCGCGACUUGUGCCGUCUGCGCUCUUAAUGAGGCACGUCGUUGUGUCACGAGCGUGUUCGCUCGUCGUGGCUCAAAGCUGGACACGGAUGACUGGUAUUCUCAGAGUAUCGGUAGCAGACGACAAAGCCGGAAGCCGGAUCGACUUUCGAAAAAAAAAGAAACGAGUAAAUGUAUCUGAAACACCGAAUCUGCGCGAGUAUCGUCGCAUAUCCUUUGCUUUAUUGCUGCAAAAAGUUUCAGCUAAAUAACAUGUACUGUAUGAUUUAGAAAUAAUGCAGAUUGUUAAGUAAUGGGGAUGGUUGGGCUUUUAUGCAGUUGAAACGCCAUAAAAUCUGACUGAAUGUGUUUUGUAAUUAUUUUUCAGUGGAGACAUUAAGUAUUGUUAACGACCAGAAAAAGCCAUAAUUUGCAGUAAACAUAAAACUGGGGGAGAAUUAAUGGAACUUUUAUCGUUCACGUGAUUAAACGAUUUUAUCAUAGUGUCGAUCUGAACGUGAACAUGAGAUUGUAAAAUGCGUUACACGCAUGAAAUUCGAUAAGCGUUAAACUUGAUAAACACGUCUGAUCGCUCCGAAGGCCAUUAUUGCGAUCGUCUAUAUUUUAGCGUUCAUAAUCUACAGUGACUGCGUCACAGCAAUUUAAUAAUUAACUACCGAAUUAUCGCUCCGUUGAACCGAGCCAGCAUAAUAAUUUAAUAAAACCGAUAAUAAUGACAACACCGCUCGCUGUCCUAUUAACUGAUACUUCACACUACUGACGUUUCUCAAUCUCGUUCCAUCAUUGUUUCAUCAUUUCCAUUAACUCUUUAUCUUACAACAGAUAUAAUGAUAACAUAGAAUUCAAUCUUUAAUCGCUUGUCCUUACUUGCUUGUCUUAGAAAUGCAAAGUAACUAGUUGCGCCGAGAUCAAAUAAAUGAUUUAUAUAAAAUAUAUAAAUAGAAAAAUAUUUAACUCUCUAAAGCAUAGUGGUAUGAAAAAUGUCCCACUUUUUUAGUGUUUGAACGUGCAUGAUGGGAUGUUAUUCAUACCACCUUUAAAUCGUGAAAUUACUAGAAGCACAAAGGUACAUUCUGUCCACCUAUUUAGUUAGAGACUCUACCAACACAGAUUAAGAUAUUGUUUCAGAGUAUCAGAGUAGGGUAUUAUAUUGUUAAUCAACAAAUCUUAUAAAAUAAAACUAUUAAAAUAAAACUAUUUUGUCACAUUUUAUAAAACUAAAAUUCCUGUGCAACAAGAAAUUUUUUGUUGUAAAAUCCUGUACUUCAAAGAAUUAAACAUGCAAAAUUAAACAUGCACUGCAUUCCUGUGACUCUCAGUGGUUUCUCUUGUUGACGAAAAAUGGGAAUUCUAGUCGAUUCAAACAUUCGUGGCAGAAAGGCUCGACGCAUCCUCGCACAGGCAUGCAAAUACACACAACGCGUGCCUGAAAUAUUUGCCGUGCAGUUUUGGGAGCCAGGAAACGUCGUUCGACGACGGAUGGAUUCUGUCUUGAACAUUCGAGCCGGCCGGUAUCCGAGAAAAAGAGAAAUUAAGUCGGUCCGACACAACAUGCGCGCGCGCUUGGCGACGCGCAUUGUUCUGCUCUAAUAAUUGCGUUCAGAAUCAAUUCGCCGCGACGAAAUGGUCCCGCGCGGCUGGACGUGAUUUAGAAUCUCCCAAAUAGCCCCGGUCAUGGCGUAUUAUAGGCUUGAACAAAGAUGGCGGACACGCGCAGCAGGUAUCGGCCUUUCUUUAAUAUUUUUGGAAGAAGUGGCGACAGUUGUCUGUCACAGCAAUAUACACUUGUAUACUAUCGUAUUAUUUUUGAAAGUUUUUUUCUUACGAUGGCUUUUGGAAUUAAUUUAUCAUGAUGGGAGAUUGGUGGGUGGCGCUGCGUGAUUGAUUAGCUUGUCAAAGCAAACAUUUAUGGAAAUAUGAUAGACGCGAGUUGUGUCAGUGACAGAUAGACUUUUUCUCAGAACAUGAGAGUAGAGAAGUAGCGGCGCGAUUAUUUCACGUUUUUUGUAUUUCCCUCGUGCGAGAACUGCGUCCAGAAUGCGAAUGCGGAUAAAAACUUAGAUUUCCAUGGGGAAUUAACCCUUGGGGUUUGUUGCGGGGUGAGUUUUAAAAACGGAUUAGAAAUCGUAACAUGGCACGCGACACGGAGAGGCGUGGAACUUGCAGCCAGAUUAAAAGCACCGCGAAAUCGCGCGAACUUUCCGUGUUACAUCUGGGAAUCCGAGAAUUCCGCUGCUUUUUGGGGGGCGGAAAGGGUGAAGUUCGCAAUUGCCGUUUGCGCCCUCCGGUCCCCGUAACGUGAGAAGAUACCAGCUGCUCUUGGCUGCAAAAUUAACGCGGAAUGCACGAAAAGUUUCGUCCUGCCGGCGACGAGGAUGCCAACGCGGCGGGGGACCGUACGUAAUUCAUAGUCGACAAGAUAAUUGGGGCACGGCGAUUGCACACAAGACGAGGAGAGAGAGAGAGCGCGCGCGCAUAUUGCGGAAAUUCGCACGAGAACUCGCACACGGCAUCUAAUCGGUUCGCCUAUGCUGCGUUUUCCAAGAAAUCGCAUGCCACGAAUUACCGGUUGCUCGCACGAUUCAUUAACUCCGUUCCGCGCUCCUCGUUACGCUUGAUCACGUGUUAAUUCUCUUCGGGGAAGUGCGUCCGUCGUGCACGGAAUGUAAAAAAAUCGUCGCGCAACUAUUCUCAGGCGCGAUUAAUCUCGGGAGCGUAAACGGAGGAAAUGCGCAAUUGCACGAUUGGUCAACGCGCGAUAGUGGAAUGCCGUUCGCAGGCCAAAUAGUGCGACCGGACAGCAUUAUCAAGAUGUGAAACGCUUUAAAGGUACACUUAUCGAAAUCUCGAUAACACCCGUGAGAGCAAGUGCAGGAUAAGAGAUGGGAAAGAGAGGCAGCAGCGUGGUUGCUAAAGUUGCUUAAGAGGUUUCUUGGCAAAUUUCAUUCCGGAAAGUUUACGUCGCUUUUUGGAGCACUUCAGGUCGAGGUCAAUUAAACGCUCGCCCUCCGCAAGAGGGCGAACGCGACAGAUUUUUUAAUAAAUUUUAUUCCCUUUUUAUGUGCGCAACUUUAUAUAUAUAUAUAUAUAAUUUUUAAUCUUGCUUUCUUCCGUCUCUCUCUCCCUCUCUGGACAGCAUGCAGAACAUAAUAGUCAACAAUUAUGUUAUAGAUUUCAGUACUAUUAAAUUAAAAAUUAAAUAUUUUAAUAUAAAGAAAUUAAAUAUUUGGAGAUAACUGUUACUAAUACCUUGUCCUGGGAGAGUCACAUUACUAACGUCUUGAGAAAGAUGCAUAAUGCACUAUAGCGGCUAAAAAUCUGUAAAGAACUGUUACCAAUAUGCCUGAGAGAAAAACUUGUCAAGGCAUUCAUCAUCACUCAUGCGGAUUAUUGUUGUGCUGCACUAAUGCAUAUUACUGCAGAACAAAAUAUGAGAUUGUAUAGAAUGGUCAAUGCAAGUAUACGAUUUAUAUACGACCUCAAGCAUGAUGAACACAUUUAAAUCGUACUGAAAAACUUGACUGGCUGAAAGUUGAUGUGAGGAGAACCUAUUUUGUAGGUUGCCUCCUAUUUAACAUUCUUAAAAAUCAAACUCUUAAUCUUCUCUUCAACAAUUAUAAAUUGCGAAGCGCGGUUAAAGUCAGAAACACUAGAGCUGCAGAUGAUCUUCUUGCUGUGCCAAAAUACAGAACGGCAAUCUUCAAGAGGUCCUUUAUAGUUCACUCGGCUGAAUUAUGGAAUAAUUUGCCACCUAAAGUAAGAAAUGCUAGAGCGCUCGAUGAAUUUAAAUCAACCUUCUAUUCAUUGCUGCUUGACAGGAGUAGUCUUUUAACUUAUUUAACUGAUACUGCUUGUCUGAAUUUUUGAAGUGUUCUAUAAGUAUACGUAGCGAGCGAUUGGUUAAUACAAAACUAAUUUUCUUUUGCAUGCACUCUGUUUAAUGCGUAACUACAUUCUGGUUUCCUGGUAUUUAACAUUUUUAUGGAUACCCCGAGCGAUUUUUGAUUUUAUAUUCUUUAUGUAUUAUUUUAUCUCUCACUUUAUCUUUAAGUUAAUCACUUAGUAUUUUAAUAUUUUUAUCUUUUAUCUAAUUAUGUUAUGAAAUGAUCAAAAUGUUCAUAAUUAUAUCACUAGCAUUCAAUAAUGGCGCUAGAAGGGACUUAGUCCCAUUUUUGAAUCGACUAGAAUUCCCAUUUUUCGUCAACAAGAAAAAUAUAAAACGCUUCUCUAUUUAUUUAUUGAAUCAUGUCAUAUAAAAAACAUCGCAAGGGUUGUCGCAAGUUCUGGCAUUUCUAUCAACAGCCCAGGAGCAAAAAUGGAGCUCCGCUUAAAUCAAAUUUAUGUUAAUGGAAGCGCAAUACGGGUCUCCCGUUUGUUCGAGUAACGGCGUAUCCGGCUCGCGAAACACUCGCCGUGUCGUAAAUCGACUCGCACUGUUCGUUUGAGCGAUAGUGACGUGCACGAGAGAGGCGCGCGUGUUACGCCGUCAGCGUCUAUUCUGUUCCCGGUCAAUGCUCUAGCCGAUCCAACGGCGGCUAGAACAAAUCGAAGCGAACUACGACAGACGAACGGGUCGCUGUUCUAUGCGGUCGGGGAGAAAGUAGAUUGGCUGCGUGCCAGCCACGUGCUGAUAAAGAGAUUACAAACGGGACAGCGACACUUUCGCAAACUCGGUGCGUUCCCGCGCGAUCAAAAGGACCGAGUCCGUCUCCAGAAAUUUGCGCACGCUGCUGACCUUUCUACAAAGAUCACCGCGUUGACCAUUUAAAAUUUUAAAUGCAGCGUUUUGUCCUGUUCCUGAUGGAAUUUUUCAGACCCUGCAACGGCGACGCCGCGAAGCGAAAAGCGGCUUAUGCAACUUUUUGCGCGUUCCUCAUGCAUAAUCGAUCCCCUCGUGACAAAUGGUGAUCGAGGAUUUAUUAGGUUCGCUCGCGAUUCCUGAAAAAAGUUCGAAGGUAUUUGCGUCGGGUAAAUGUCUACUUCAUGGAAAAA